This 929-nucleotide ribosomal RNA is filed under the name Xylaria sp. 3L921. Its description in RNAcentral is "eukaryotic LSU rRNA". The stretch from base 331 to 929 matches the Rfam family "Eukaryotic large subunit ribosomal RNA", at positions 1 to 609 of the family's 3401-position model. The record is from RNAcentral. Lineage: Eukaryota; Fungi; Ascomycota; Sordariomycetes; Xylariales; Xylariaceae.
ACUAAAUAAGUUAAAACUUUCAACAACGGAUCUCUUGGUUCGGGCAUCGAUGAAGAACGCAGCGAAAUGCGAUAAGUAAUGUGAAUUGCAGAAUUCAGUGAAUCAUCGAAUCUUUGAACGCAUAUUGCGCCCAUUAGUAUUCUAGUGGGCAGGACCGUUCGAGCGUCAUUUCGACCCUUAAGCUUUGGUUGCUUAGUGUUGGGAGCCUACGGCAACGUAGCUCCUCAAAGUUAGUGGCGGAGUUGGUUCACACUCUAGACGUAGUAGAUUUUUAUCUCGCCUAUCAGUUGGACCGGUCCCCUGCCGUAAAACCCCCCAACUUCUUAAAGUUGACCUCGAAUCGGUUCAGACAAACUCGCUAAAUUGAAGCAUCUUAGUCAGCGAAGGAAAAGAAACCAACAGGGAUUGCCCUAGUAACGGCGAGUGAAGCGGCAACAGCUCAAAUUUGAAAUCUGGCCCUCGGGUCCGAGUUGUAAUUUGUAGAGGAUGCUUUUGGCGCGGUGCCUUCCGAGUUCCCUGGAACGGGACGCCUUAGAGGGUGAGAGCCCCGUACGGUUGGACACCAAGCCUCUGUAAAGCUCCUUCGACGAGUCGAGUAGCUUGGGAAUGCUGCUCUAAAUGGGAGGUAAAUUUCUUCUAAAGCUAAAUAUUGGCCAGAGACCGAUAGCGCACAAGUAGAGUGAUCGAAAGAUGAAAAGCACUUUGAAAAGAGGGUUAAACAGCACGUGAAAUUGUUGAAAGGGAAGCGUUUGCGACCAGACCUUUUCCUAGCGGAUCAUCCGGUGUUCUCACCGGUGCACUUCGCUAGGUUUAGGCCAGCAUCGGUUUCUGUAGGGGGAUAAAAGCUCUGGGAACGUAGCUCCUCCGGGAGUGUUAUAGCCCUCUGCAUAAUACCCUUACGGGGACCGAGGACCGCGCUCGGCAAGGAU